Molecule: ribosomal RNA, 450 nt
Filed under: uncultured bacterium
Lineage: Bacteria
Description: partial 16S ribosomal RNA
Rfam family: Bacterial small subunit ribosomal RNA
Source: RNAcentral
GUGGGGAAUUUUGGACAAUGGGCGCAAGCCUGAUCCAGCCAUUCCGCGUGCAGGAUGAAGGCCUUCGGGUUGUAAACUGCUUUUGUACGGAACGAAAAGCCUCUGGUUAAUACCCGGGGGUCAUGACGGUACCGCAAGAAUAAGCACCGGCUAACUACGUGCCAGCAGCCGCGGUAAUACGUAGGGUGCGAGCGUUAAUCGGAAUUACUGGGCGUAAAGCGUGCGCAGGCGGUGAUGUAAGACAGUUGUGAAAUCCCCGGGCUCAACCUGGGAACUGCAUCUGUGACUGCAUUGCUGGAGUGCGGCAGAGGGGGAUGGAAUUCCGCGUGUAGCAGUGAAAUGCGUAGAUAUGCGGAGGAACACCGAUGGCGAAGGCAAUCCCCUGGGCCUGCACUGACGCUCAUGCACGAAAGCGUGGGGAGCAAACAGGAUUAGAAACCCUAGUAGUCC